UGCGGUGGUCAUGGCCCAGGUGAGACGCCCGGUCCCUUUCCGAACCCGGAAGCUAAGGCCUGGCUGCGGCGAUGGUACUGCACUCGAGA
RNAcentral lists this ribosomal RNA (89 nucleotides) under Bifidobacterium catenulatum subsp. kashiwanohense. Lineage: Bacteria; Bacillati; Actinomycetota; Actinomycetes; Bifidobacteriales; Bifidobacteriaceae. The record is from RNAcentral.